RNAcentral lists this ribosomal RNA (519 nucleotides) under uncultured Glomus. RNAcentral describes it as "SSU rRNA". It matches the Rfam family "Eukaryotic small subunit ribosomal RNA", at positions 569 to 1092 of the family's 1831-position model. Lineage: Eukaryota; Fungi; Glomeromycota; Glomeromycetes; Glomerales; Glomeraceae. The record is from RNAcentral.
AGCAGCCGCGGUAAUUCCAGCUCCAAUAGCGUAUAUUAAAGUUGUUGCAGUUAAAAAGCUCGUAGUUGAAUUUCGGGACUAAUAUGUCGGUCGUACUUUGUACGUACUAGCAUUAUUGGUUUCUCCCUUCUGACGAACCACGAUGUCAUUAAUUUGGUGUCAUGGGAAAUCAGGACUGUUACUUUGAAAAAUUAGAGUGUUUAAAGCAAGCUCGCGCUUGAAUACAUUAGCAUGGAAUAAUGAAAUAGGACGUUUGAUUCUAUUUUGUUGGUUUCUAGGAUCGACGUAAUGAUUAAUAGGGAUAGUUGGGGGCAUUAGUAUUCAAUUGUCAGAGGUGAAAUUCUUGGAUUUAUUGAAGACUAACUACUGCGAAAGCAUUUGCCAAGGAUGUUUUCAUUAAUCAAGAACGAAAGUUAGGGGAUCGAAGACGAUCAGAUACCGUCGUAGUCUUAACCAUAAACUAUGCCGACUAGGGAUCGGAUGAUGUUAAUUUUUAAUGUACUCAUUCGGCGCCUUAAC